CGGCGCAUAGCUAGUUGUGAGGUAACGGCUCACCAAGGCGACGAUGCGUAGGGGUUCUGAGAGGAAGGUCCCCCACACUGGUACUGAGCACACUGGACCAGCAUCUCUAUACGGGAGGCCAGCAGUGAGGAAGUAUUGGCUCGAAUGGACUGGUAGUCUUGAACCAGCCUAAGUCGCUGAUGCGUGGAUGAAGGCCCUUUGGGUCGUACACCGCUUUUGGUCGGGGAGCAACUGUGCGGGACGUGUCCCUGUAGUGAGCGUACCCGAAUGUAACAAGCAUCGGCUAACUCCGUGCCAGCAGUCCGCGGCUAAUACGGACGCGAUGCGAGCGUUCAUCCGGAUUCACUUGGCGUUUAACAUGGGUGCGCAGGCGGCACAUCACAUGUCAGCGGUCAAACUGCGGCGCUCAAUCGCCGUAUCGCCGCUUCGAAACUGAUGAGCUUGAGUGCGUGCGAGGGAGGCGGAAUGCGCAGUGUAGCGGUGAAAUGCAUAGAUAUUGCGCAGAACUCCGAUUGCGAAGGCAGCUUCCCAGCGCGCCACUGACGCUCAUGCACGAAAGCGUGGGUAUCGAACAGGAUUAGAUACCCUGGUAGUCCACGCGGUAAACGAUGAUCACUGGCUGUGCGGUUUAAUUGCGAAUUGCGCGGCUGACGCGAAAGCGUUAAGUGAUCCACCCUGGGGAGUACGCCGGCAACGGUGAAACUCAAAGGAAUUGACGGGGGCCCGCACAAGCGGAGGAACAUGUGGUUUAAUUCGAUGAUACGCGAGGAACCUUACCCGGGCUCGAACGGUACAUGUCGUGAUGCUGAAAGGCGUCAUUCUCUUCGGAGCAUCGUAUCGAGGUGCUGCAUGGUUGUCGUCAGCUCGUGCCGUGAGGUUUGUCGGCUUAAGUGCCAUAACGAGCGCAACCCCCAUUCCUGGUUGCCACCGCGUCGUGGCGGGCACUCCAGGGAGACUGCCGGCGCAAGCUGUGAGGAGGGCAGGGAUGACGUCAAAUCAGCACGGCCCUUACGUCCGGGGCGACACACGUGUUACAAUGGUGGGUACAGAGGGGAGCCACCCGGCGACGGGGAGCCGAUCCCGAAAACCCAUCCCAGUUCGGAUCGGAGUCUGCAACCCGACUCCGCGAAGCUGGAUUCGCUAGUAAUCGCGCAUCAGCCAUGGCGCGGUGAAUACGUUCCCGGGCCUUGUACACACCGCCCGUCAAGCCAUGAAAGCUCGGGGCGCCUGAAGUCCGUGACCGAGAGGAGCGGCCUAGGCGAAACGGU
RNAcentral lists this ribosomal RNA (1268 nucleotides) under uncultured bacterium. RNAcentral's name for it is "bacterial SSU rRNA". It matches the Rfam family "Bacterial small subunit ribosomal RNA", at positions 234 to 1471 of the family's 1533-position model. The record is from RNAcentral.